This 29-nucleotide non-coding RNA is filed under the name Macaca fascicularis (crab-eating macaque). Lineage: Eukaryota; Metazoa; Chordata; Mammalia; Primates; Cercopithecidae. The record is from RNAcentral. RNAcentral also lists the same sequence under 1 other name.
UGGCACUGGAAGGGACCUCAGGAAUCAAA